RNAcentral lists this ribosomal RNA (301 nucleotides) under uncultured bacterium. RNAcentral's name for it is "partial 16S ribosomal RNA". It matches the Rfam family "Bacterial small subunit ribosomal RNA", at positions 509 to 807 of the family's 1533-position model. The record is from RNAcentral.
CAGUAGCCGCGGUAAUACGAAGGGGGCUAGCGUUGCUCGGAAUUACUGGGCGUAAAGGGAGCGUAGGCGGAUCGUUAAGUUGGGGGUGAAAGCCCGGGGCUCAACCUCGGAACUGCCUUCAAUACUGGCGAUCUUGAGUAUGAGAGAGGUGUGUGGAACUCCGAGUGUAGAGGUGAAAUUCGUAGAUAUUCGGAAGAACACCAGUGGCGAAGGCGACACACUGGCUCAUUACUGACGCUGAGGAGCGAAAGCGUGGGGAGCGAACAGGAUUAGAUACCCCCGUAGUCCCUGUCUCUUAUAC